This 743-nucleotide ribosomal RNA is filed under the name uncultured bacterium. RNAcentral describes it as "bacterial SSU rRNA". It matches the Rfam family "Bacterial small subunit ribosomal RNA", at positions 94 to 823 of the family's 1533-position model. The record is from RNAcentral.
AGCGGCGGAUGGGUGAGUAACACGUGGGGAACCUGCCCCUAAGUCUGGGAUACCAUUUGGAAACAGGUGCUAAUACCGGAUAAUAAAGCAGAUCGCAUGAUCAGCUUUUGAAAGGCGGCGUAAGCUGUCGCUAAGGGAUGGCCCCGCGGUGCAUUAGCUAGUUGGUAAGGUAACGGCUUACCAAGGCGACGAUGCAUAGCCGAGUUGAGAGACUGAUCGGCCACAUUGGGACUGAGGCACGGCCCAAACUCCUACGGGAGGCAGCAGUAGGGAAUCUUCCACAAUGGACGCAAGUCUGAUGGAGCAACGCCGCGUGAGUGAAGAGGGUUUUCGGAUCGUAAAGCUCUGUUGUUGGUGAAGAAGGAUAGAGGUAGUAACUGGCCUUUAUUUGACGGUAAUCAACCAGAAAGUCACGGCUAACUACGUGCCAGCAGCCGCGGUAAUACGUAGGUGGCAAGCGUUGUCCGGAUUUAUUGGGCGUAAAGCGAGCGCAGGCGGAAAAAUAAGUCUAAUGUGAAAGCCCUCGGCUUAACCGAGGAACUGCAUCGGAAACUGUUUUUCUUGAGUGCAGAAGAGGAGAGUGGAACUCCAUGUGUAGCGGUGGAAUGCGUAGAUAUAUGGAAGAACACCAGUGGCGAACGCGGCUCUCUGGUCUGCAACUGACGCUGAGGCUCGAAAGCAUGGGUAGCGAACAGGAUUAGAUACCCUGGUAGCCCAUGCCGUAAACGAUGAGUGCUAAGUGU